CACGAAAGUGAGCUUCCGCAAGGACACUCGUAGAGGUGCUGCAUGGCUGUCGUCAGCUCGUGUCGUGAGAUGUUGGGUUAAGUCCCGCAACGAGCGCAACCCUUGUUUGCUGUUGCCAUCAGGUUAUGCUGGGCACUCUGCAAAGACUGCCGGUGAUAAACCGGAGGAAGGUGGGGAUGACGUCAAGUCAGCAUGGCCUUUAUGUCUGGGGCCACACACGUGCUACAAUGGCCGACACAAACCGUCGCGAUACCGCAAGGUGGAGCUAAUCGGAGAAAGUCGGUCUCAGUUCGGAUCGUAGGCUGCAACUCGCCUGCGUGAAGUUGGAAUCGCUAGUAAUCGCGGAUCAGCACGCCGCGGUGAAUACGUUCCCGGGCCUUGUACACACCGCCCGUCACAUCACGAAAGCCGGUUGUACUAGAAGUCGCCAUACCAACCCGCAAGGGAGGGAGGCGCCUAAGGUAUGGUCGGUGAUUGGGGUGAAGUCGUAACAAGGUAGCCGU
Molecule: ribosomal RNA, 503 nt
Filed under: uncultured Acidobacteriota bacterium
Lineage: Bacteria; Pseudomonadati; Acidobacteriota
Description: bacterial SSU rRNA
Rfam family: Bacterial small subunit ribosomal RNA
Source: RNAcentral